ACGAACGCUGGCGGCGUGCCUAAUACAUGCAAGUAGAACGCUGAAGGAGGAGCUUGCUUCUCCGGAUGAGUUGCGAACGGGUGAGUAACGCGUAGGUAACCUGCCUGGUAGCGGGGGAUAACUAUUGGAAACGAUAGCUAAUACCGCAUAACAGUAGAUGUUGCAUGACAUUUGCUUAAAAGGUGCAAUUGCAUCACUACCAGAUGGACCUGCGUUGUAUUAGCUAGUUGGUGAGGUAACUGCUAACCAAGGCGACGAUACAUAGCCGACCUGAGAGGGUGAUCAGCCACACUGGGACUGAGACACGGCCCAGACUCCUACGGGAGGGAGCAGUAGGGAAUCUUCGGCAAUGGACGGGAGUCUGACCGAGCAACGCCGCGUGAGCGAAGAAGGUUUUCGGAUCGUAAAGCUCUGUUGUAAGAGAAGAACGAGUGUGAGAGUGGAAAGUUCACACUGUGACGGUAUCUUACCAGAAAGGGACGGCUAACUACGUG
This 494-nucleotide ribosomal RNA is filed under the name uncultured bacterium. RNAcentral describes it as "partial 16S ribosomal RNA". It matches the Rfam family "Bacterial small subunit ribosomal RNA", at positions 29 to 507 of the family's 1533-position model. The record is from RNAcentral.